GAUGAACGCUGGCGGCGUGCCUAAUACAUGCAAGUCGAGCGAACAGAUGAGGAGCUUGCUCCUCUGACGUUAUCGGCGGACGGGUGAUUAACACGUGGUUAACCUACCUAUAAGACUGGGAUAACUUCGGGAAACCGGAGCUAAUACCGGAUAAUAUAUUGAACCUGGUGGUUCAAUAGUGAAAGUCGGUUUUGCUUUCACUUAUAGAUUGAUCCGCGCUGCAUUAGCUAGUUGGUAAGGUAACUGCUUACCAAGGCAACGAUGCGAAGCCGACCUGAGAGGGUGGUCGGCCACACUGGAUCUGAGAAAGGGCCCAGACUCCGACGGGAGGACGCAGUAGAGAAUCUUCCGCGAUGGGCGAAAGCCUGAUGGAGCAACGCCGCGUGAGUGAUGAAGGUCUUAGGAUCGUAAAACUCUGUUAUUAGGGAAGAACAAAUGUGUAAGUAACUAUGCACGUCUUGACGGUACCUAAUCAGAAAGCCACGGCUAACUACGUG
RNAcentral lists this ribosomal RNA (497 nucleotides) under uncultured bacterium. RNAcentral describes it as "partial 16S ribosomal RNA". It matches the Rfam family "Bacterial small subunit ribosomal RNA", at positions 28 to 507 of the family's 1533-position model. The record is from RNAcentral.